AAGUCGUAACAAGGUCUCCGUUGGUGAACCAGCGGAGGGAUCAUUACCAGAGUGCCCUAGGCUCUCCAACCCAUUGUGAACAUACCUAACGUUCCCUCGGCGGGCUCAGCGCGCGGUGCCUCCGGGCUCCGGGCGUCCGCCGGGGACAAGCAAACCCUGAUUUUAUCGUGUAUCUCUGAGGGGCGAAAGCCCGAAAACAAAAUAAAUCAAAACUUUCAACAACGGAUCUCUUGGCUCUG
RNAcentral lists this unclassified non-coding RNA (239 nucleotides) under Sarocladium zeae. RNAcentral describes it as "partial internal transcribed spacer region". The stretch from base 1 to 46 matches the Rfam family "Eukaryotic small subunit ribosomal RNA", at positions 1786 to 1831 of the family's 1831-position model. The record is from RNAcentral. RNAcentral also lists the same sequence under 1 other name. Lineage: Eukaryota; Fungi; Ascomycota; Sordariomycetes; Hypocreales; Sarocladiaceae.